Paramuricea clavata is the source of this 450-nucleotide non-coding RNA. The record is from the annotation of a GenBank genome assembly. NCBI's taxonomy places the organism in Eukaryota, Metazoa, Cnidaria, Anthozoa, Malacalcyonacea, Plexauridae.
GGAAAUGUUGAUGUUCUUCAUAGUGGGAUACAAAAGGUGUGUUAGCGACUGAAUAAGGAAAAUAUUGCGUGUGAAACAGGGUCAGUAUAGAGUCGGCAGGAGCCGCGAAGAGUGCUGUUGUCGAAGAAAAAUGUCACAAUUAAUUGUAUUAAAUCUUGUCCAUUCACCCCUGUGUCAGUUUGAAAAAGCUUUAAAUGAUGAGACACUUGUGGUUCGACUGGUUCCUCCAGCAUAAUUUAGCCGUUCAACGCUAUUAUGUUUCUAAUGGUUGAAAGAGCGCGUGGAAAGGGCAAUUUAAGAACACAAACAACUACAAUGUACUGUGUUAAUUGCUACUGUAGUAUUAAAAUACCUGAAAAGAGUCUCAAUUCUAAUAUUAAAUCGGUUUAUAUAAACCUUGAUAAUAUUAAAGUUUUCAGAAGAUUUGUAUAUCAGAGGAAUAUUAAACGG